CCUACGGGUGGCAGCAGUGGGGAAUAUUGGACAAUGGGGGGAACCCUGAUCCAGCCAUGCCGCGUGUGUGAAGAAGGCCCUCGGGUUGUAAAGCACUUUCAGUGAGGAAGAACGCCUGGUGGUUAAUACCCAUCAGGAAAGACAUCACUCACAGAAGAAGCACCGGCUAACUCCGUGCCAGCAGCCGCGGUAAUACGGAGGGUGCGAGCGUUAAUCGGAAUUACUGGGCGUAAAGCGCGCGUAGGUGGCUUGAUAAGCCGGUUGUGAAAGCCCCGGGCUCAACCUGGGAACGGCAUCCGGAACUGUCAAGCUAGAGUGCAGGAGAGGAAGGUAGAAUUCCCGGUGUAGCGGUGAAAUGCGUAGAGAUCGGGAGGAAUACCAGUGGCGAAGGCGGCCUUCUGGACUGACACUGACGCUGAGGUGCGAAAGCGUGGGUAGCAAACAGGAUUAGAUACCCCAGUAGUC
This 465-nucleotide ribosomal RNA is filed under the name Vreelandella stevensii. RNAcentral describes it as "partial 16S ribosomal RNA". It matches the Rfam family "Bacterial small subunit ribosomal RNA", at positions 338 to 795 of the family's 1533-position model. The record is from RNAcentral. Lineage: Bacteria; Pseudomonadati; Pseudomonadota; Gammaproteobacteria; Oceanospirillales; Halomonadaceae.